GAUGAACGCUGGCGGCGUGCUUAACACAUGCAAGUCGAACGGAAAGGCACAAGCUUGCUUGGGUACUCGAGUGGCGAACGGGUGAGUAACACGUGGGUGAUCUGCCCUGCACUUCGGGAUAAGCCUGGGAAACUGGGUCUAAUACCGGAUAGGACGAUGGUUUGGAUGCCAUUGUGGAAAGUUUUUUCGGUGUGGGAUGAGCUCGCGGCCUAUCAGCUUGUUGGUGGGGUAAUGGCCUACCAAGGCGUCGACGGGUAGCCGGCCUGAGAGGGUGUACGGCCACAUUGGGACUGAGAUACGGCCCAGACGCCUACGGGAGGCAGCAGUGGGGAAUAUUGCACAAUGGGCGCAAGCCUGAUGCAGCGACGCCGCGUGGGGGAUGACGGCCUUCGGGUUGUAAACUCCUUUCGCUAGGGACGAAGCGUUUUGUGACGGUACCUGGAGAAGAAGCACCGGCUAACUACGUG
Molecule: ribosomal RNA, 467 nt
Filed under: uncultured bacterium
Lineage: Bacteria
Description: partial 16S ribosomal RNA
Rfam family: Bacterial small subunit ribosomal RNA
Source: RNAcentral